This 492-nucleotide ribosomal RNA is filed under the name uncultured bacterium. Its description in RNAcentral is "bacterial SSU rRNA". It matches the Rfam family "Bacterial small subunit ribosomal RNA", at positions 356 to 861 of the family's 1533-position model. The record is from RNAcentral.
UGGGAAUCUUGCACAAUGGGCGAAAGCCUGAUGCAGCAACGCCGCGUGCGGGAAGACAGCCCUAGGGUUGUAAACCGCUUUCAGCAGGGAAGAAACUGACGGUACCUGCAGAAGAAGAUGCGGCCAACUACGUGCCAGCAGCCGCGGUGACACGUAGGCAUCAAGCGUUAUCCGGAUUUAUUGGGCGUAAAGAGCUCGUAGGCGGUUCGGUAAGUCGGGUGUGAAAACUCUGGGCUCAACCCAGAGAGGCCACUCGAUACUGCUGUGACUAGAGUGCGGUAGGGGAGCGGGGAAUUCCUGGUGUAGCGGUGAAAUGCGCAGAUAUCAGGAGGAACACCAGUGGCGAAGGCGCCGCUCUGGGCCGUAACUGACGCUGAGGAGCGAAAGCAUGGGUAGCAAACAGGAUUAGAUACCCUGGUAGUCCAUGCCGUAAACGUUGGGCACUAGGUGUGGGUCUCAACCGAACGAGAUCCGCGCCGUCGCUAACGCAUU